ACGUUCCCACCCAAUUCUUCAGUGAUGCAACUUAACUAGUGACAAAGUCAGGCACUGAAGUUUUAGCCCAGCCUAUAACCAUAAAUGGAAUUCAUUUCCUGCUGAAGCCUCUGAGAACACUGUUCUGAUGAGUUGUCACCAGGCAAGCAAAAACUCUCAUAUACAGACUUGGAAACAGCAAGAGCAGAGCAAGGCUUAAAACAGAACGGAGGGAGUGAAACUUCACUUGGUCAAUGACUGGAAACAGUAAGAGCAGUGUGGAGCUUUCGACCACCACCAGGAGCCAGCCUGUGGGUUCAAAGCCCAAUUUCGGAAAGAGAAAAAUUGAGGUGUGACAUCACAAGUAAAGAGGUGACUCUGCCAGCUCCAAGUAGAGACCAAGUCCUUCGACCCAUGUUAGAAAGCUCAAAGAGCAGGCUGAGGGCUAAUAGCAAACAAAUGGCACAGAGACCUGUCCCCCAGGACAAAGCCGCCAGCCAUCCCACGCUGCAAACAUCAGCAUUUGAGAAAACAACAUCAUAAAGAGCAAAUACUCACCGAUUAUCAGCAUCUGCAGUAUCCUGAUUUUUGAAUUAUAAACAGAUUGUGAGAAAAACAUUCUGCACCUGACUGAUUUGAAAAUCAGAGCAUCUAGUUUGGGUCCUCCAGAGUUUAAUAUUUUAAUGGCACAACCAUCAAUAAUUCUCUAAAAUCUGGCAGACUGAAACCUACUGCCUUUCAACCAUUCACAACUUGAUUAGCUAUUGUUCAUAAUGGAUCAAUCAGAAGUCCACAUUCAGGACAUAAUUAUUGUUGCCUCAGGUGGGCCAAUAGUUUGGGACCAAAGUCACCCUCAGUGUCCCUGAAUUAGGAGUGCAAGUCCCUCUCCCAGUAACACUGAGGAUGAUUGUGGUGCCGCACCAAUUUACUGUCUGAGAAUAGCUCAAUCAACAUGUGGCAGUUAUCAAACAUGAGAUCUUUCUGGUCUGUAUGACUCGGUACCAAUCACACAAACUGUUUACUUACUGGGCUAUCUGAAGAAUGUCCAAGCUAUUUUUUCUAUUUUAAUGAGUACAAAUGAAAAGUUUACUUUUGCACCUUCAGCUGAAUUUCAUAUGUACUAUUCAUGCUGGCACAUGAGCCCUUCUUCAGAUUCACUAAUAUCUUGAACACUAGGUGCUCCUGUUGGUCUUUCAAUUUACAAAACUACACCAACAGAAAAAUAAAUACUUGUUCAAUUAGAUCAAUGCUGUAGGUGAUAAAGAAGUUUCAAUCAAAUACAGCUUUAUUAAAAAUGAAGCCACCCACCAUUGCAAAAGAGGUGCAUUAUUUUGUUGUAUCAUUUAAUUUACAAUUCAUCAUAAAUUUUGUCAUAGUUUGAUUGACAGAACAUAUGCAUUUCAUUGUUUGUGGUACAUUUAUCAACUGAAAAAAUGUCUACUAACGUUUCAUAAAAUAUUGUAAUGAUCGCUAUAAUAAAUUAAGACCUGAUAAAUUA
Long non-coding RNA from Carcharodon carcharias (great white shark), 1477 nucleotides. RefSeq lists it as uncharacterized. The transcript is spliced from 4 exons. The record is from RefSeq and is a predicted model, not a curated record. NCBI's taxonomy places the organism in Eukaryota, Metazoa, Chordata, Chondrichthyes, Lamniformes, Lamnidae.